This 253-nucleotide ribosomal RNA is filed under the name uncultured bacterium. RNAcentral's name for it is "partial 16S ribosomal RNA". It matches the Rfam family "Bacterial small subunit ribosomal RNA", at positions 524 to 776 of the family's 1533-position model. The record is from RNAcentral.
UACGUAGGGUGCGAGCGUUAAUCGGAAUUACUGGGCGUAAAGCGUGCGCAGGCGGUUCGUUAAGUCAGCUGUGAAAGCCCCGGGCUUAACCUGGGAAUGGCGGUUGAAACUGGCGAACUUGAAUCUGGCAGAGGGGGGUGGAAUUCCACGUGUAGCAGUGAAACGCGUAGAGAUGUGGAGGAACACCGAUGGCGAAGGCGGCUACCUGGAUUGAUACUGACACUGAGGCGCGAGAGCGUGGGGAGCAAACAGG